This 1270-nucleotide ribosomal RNA is filed under the name metagenome. Its description in RNAcentral is "SSU rRNA". It matches the Rfam family "Eukaryotic small subunit ribosomal RNA", at positions 482 to 1777 of the family's 1831-position model. The record is from RNAcentral.
AAUGCGGGACUCUAAGAGGCCCCGUAAUUGGAAUGAGUACACCUUAAAUCGUUAACGAGUAUCAAUUGGAGGGCAAGUCUGGUGCCAGCAGCCGCGGUAAUUCCAGCUCCAAUAGCGUAUAUUAAAGUUGCUGCAGUUAAAAAGCUCGUAGUUGGAUCUGGGGCUUGAGGUCGCUGUCUAUCGUUUCGGCGAUGACGGUGAUGCUCAGCUCUGCUUGCCGGUGACUGUUGCGGUGUUCUUCACUGAGCGCUGUAGCAGCACGGCACGUUUACUUUGAAAAAAUUAGAGUGCUCAAAGCGUGCUUGUCGCUUGAAUAAUGUUGCAUGGAAUAAUGGAAUAGGACCUCGGUUCUAUUUUGUUGGUUUUCGGAGCUUGAGGUAAUGAUUAAGAGGGACGAACGGGGGCAUUCGUAUUGCGGUGUUAGAGGUGAAAUUCUUGGAUCGCCGCGAGACGGACUACUGCGAAAGCAUUUGCCAAGAACGCUUUCAUUAAUUAAGAACGAAAGUCAGAGGUUCGAAGACGAUCAGACACCGUCCUAGUUCUGACCAUAAACGAUGCCGACCAGCGAUCCGUAGUGGUUGCUUUAUGGACCCUACGGGCAGCCUCCGGGAAACCAAAGUAUUUGGGUUCCGGGGGAAGUAUGGUUGCAAAGCUGAAACUUAAAGGAAUUGACGGAAGGGCACACCAGGAGUGGAGCCUGCGGCUUAAUUUGACCCAACACGGGAAAACUCACCCGGUCCGGACACCGUAAGGAUUGACAGACUGAUAGCUCUUUCUUGAUUCGGUGGAUGGUGGUGCAUGGCCGUUCUUAGUUGGUGGAGUGAUUUGUCUGGUUAAUUCCGAUAACGAACGAGACUCUAGCCUGCUAAGUAGUGUUGCUAUUGUUAUAUGGUUGACACUUCUUAGAGGGACAAGUGGCAUUUAGCCACGCGAAAUUGAGCAAUAACAGGUCUGUGAUGCCCUUAGAUGUCCGGGGCCGCACGCGCGCUACACUGGAGAAGUCAGCGUGUGUUAUCCAAGUCCGAAAGGACUGGGUAAUCCGUUGAACCUUCUUCGUGCUUGGACUGUGGCUUGGAACUAUUCCACAUGAACGAGGAAUUCCUAGUAAUUGCAAGUCAUAAGCUUGCGUUGAUUACGUCCCUGCCCUUUGUACACACCGCCCGUCGCUACUACCGAUUGAAUGGUUUAGCAAGGUCCUCGGAUCGUGGCCGUAGGGGCACGCAAGUGUUUCUGCGGUUUGCGAGAAGACGACCAAACUUGAUCAUUUAGA